This 415-nucleotide long non-coding RNA is filed under the name Musa acuminata (dwarf banana). Its description in RNAcentral is "long non-coding RNA (MACU_LNC007757)". The record is from RNAcentral. Lineage: Eukaryota; Viridiplantae; Streptophyta; Magnoliopsida; Zingiberales; Musaceae.
UUUGUUACUUCAAUGCCAAACUUAAUCAUUUCCCGACCCAACAAGCUUACUACUAACGGACAAUCUUCGCCUACCAUAUCUCUUUCUCUUACCCACUCUAUUGAUCCGGACUGGAUGGACUACUUCACUUCUCCUUUCCUUGAAGACUGACUCCUAUUCUGUAUAUUCCUACUUGGAGGGUGGGCAAGCAACUCAAACUUUGACACCACAACUUCUUUUGUUGUUGCAAGAGAAGAAUAGGGUACUUUCUAUCGAGCUGGCCAUAAUACAUAAUUGCUAGCGCAUUCUAAGAAAUAGUAUAAAUAGAAGGAAGGAUAGAUCUAGCGCAUCAGGUAUCAGAAUUAGGCUCCAGGUACGAUCUAGCCAAUUAAGUAAGAAAUCCAGAAUACUGUUUAUAGGAGAGGCGAGGUCGGGU